Molecule: transfer RNA, 88 nt
Filed under: Bacteroidetes bacterium GWB2_41_8
Lineage: Bacteria; Pseudomonadati; Bacteroidota
Also listed under: 3 other names
Description: tRNA-Ser
Rfam family: tRNA
About the family: Transfer RNA (tRNA) molecules are approximately 80 nucleotides in length.
Source: RNAcentral
GGAGAGAUGCAGGAGCGGCUUAACUGGCACGCCUGGAAAGCGUGUGUACCUCAAAAGGGUACCGAGGGUUCGAAUCCCUCUCUCUCCG